GACCAGAUCAUGUUAAAAGACUGGUUUCCAUAUGAUCACUGAAGUUAAGCAACAUUGAGCCUGGUCAGUACCUAAAUGGAUGACUGCUUGGGAUUACCAGAUGCUGUAAG
This is a non-coding RNA of Acanthosepion pharaonis, 110 nucleotides long. The record is from the annotation of a GenBank genome assembly. Lineage: Eukaryota; Metazoa; Mollusca; Cephalopoda; Sepiida; Sepiidae.